CUUCAGCGGUUACUUCUGAUCGCUGACGUGAAGCCAAGUGAAUCAGGGCAACAUCCUGUCUUCUGAAGCUAACCAAAAUUCUGUUUUGAGAUCGUUUUAAAAACCAGGAAAAUGGAGGUGUCCACUCAAGCCGUCCUGUCUUUGUUCAGAAGCAAGUGGAGAGUUGAGCCAUGGAGCUGAUGGAGUCAAAGAAAGAAUGUGAGUAGAGAGAGGUGCUACUGUGUCUAAAAUAUCAAUGAGGGAGAUGCUGCCAAGUUUUGGUGCACACAGAGGGGAACAGGUCCUCUGUUAACAAAGAGUAGACCAGGCAGCUCUUCUCUGCUUUAUUUUGUGAUUAUCUCUACCCUUAUAGUGGAAGAUUUUAUUCUGUUUCAACCUACAAACUUUACUCAUUGUCUUUUCCUCAUUCCCCCAGUGUUUACACAUAACAGGCUAUCAGGGAGAGAGCUGCUUUAAAGUUUAGGCGACCACAGCAUCUGUCAUUCAGUCAUACUUUACAGCUGAACAAUACACUGGAACGCUGUGUGUUUGCCCAGGUGAGUCUUUAAUGUGGAACUCUGCAGAAAACAUGCC
Molecule: non-coding RNA, 573 nt
Organism: Xyrichtys novacula (pearly razorfish)
Lineage: Eukaryota; Metazoa; Chordata; Actinopteri; Labriformes; Labridae
Source: the annotation of a GenBank genome assembly